Molecule: long non-coding RNA, 513 nt
Organism: Sorex fumeus (smoky shrew)
Lineage: Eukaryota; Metazoa; Chordata; Mammalia; Eulipotyphla; Soricidae
Exons: 2
Source: RefSeq, a predicted model, not a curated record
CUUAGAUACAUAAAUACGUCGUCUGUGAUAAAGACUAGAAGUAUUAGACUUGGUCAUCUUUAAGCCAGAAUUAAAGAGUUAAAUUCCAUUGUCCUGUAGAACUUUUCGUGUGUACAUUUAUUAAGUCUCCACAUCAUGGACUUCAACUCUACAUAUUUGUACUCUUAAAUAGGUUUAUUACAUAGACUGAAAUUUUGCCUAAAUAUCAGAGUAAAACAUUAAAAGUGAAAGUCCCCAAAUACCUAAAAGUCAACACCAUUUUUUUGUCCAUAAUCAAAUUCAGCAUCUUAAUGCCAGGAACUUCAAAUUGAUCAUACUUUUAUAAAGUUUGAUUUACCUGCCAAGUUACAAGAAUCAUCAGACUGUUUUUAGAGAUACUCUUAAGAGACUACAAUCAUGAUAACAUUAUUGUUACCAGAGUUACAGUGCAUGUGCUAAAAGAAAUGUCACUUGCCUCUCUUUAUGAAUUAUUUGUCUUAAGAGAGGCAAUUAAAAUCCAUCUGGAAAUUUGUA